Molecule: ribosomal RNA, 253 nt
Filed under: uncultured bacterium
Lineage: Bacteria
Description: partial 16S ribosomal RNA
Rfam family: Bacterial small subunit ribosomal RNA
Source: RNAcentral
UACGAGAGGCCCAAACAUUAUUCGGAAUUACUGGGCUUAAAGAGUUCGUAGGCGGCAUGGUAAGUCGGGUGUGAAAGUCCAGGGCUCAACCCUGGGAUGCCGGUGGAUACUGUCGGGCUCGAGUCCGGAAGAGGAGUGUGGAAUUCCUGGUGUAGCGGUGGAAUGCGCAGAUAUCAGGAGGAACACCGGUGGCGAAGGCGGUUCUCUGGGCCUUACCUGACGCUGAGGAGCGAAAGCGUGGGGAGCGAGCAGG